AUGGUGGCGCCCAUGGUGAUCGCGUCGGCGGGGCUCGGGAUGCUGGCGGGCGUGGCGAUGGCGAACCGGACGACCGGGGACGGGCUGCCUGCGGCGUCCAGGUGGGACGCGCGGCCACGCUGCUCCACGUGCAGCGGCACCGGCCGGGAGGAGUGCCUCUGCAGCCGUUGGUCCGACGGCGACGUCGGCUGCGGGACGUGCUCCGGCUCCGGCCGCAAGCGGUGCCGCAGCUGCGGAGGCUCUGGCACCGGCCGGCAGCUCCCGGUGCGGCUCAUCGCCCAGCAGCAGAAGCUGCCGACGAUCGCGCCCGGGCGACGCGGAAACUGA
This 327-nucleotide ribosomal RNA is filed under the name Triticum aestivum (bread wheat). RNAcentral describes it as "partial small subunit ribosomal RNA". The record is from RNAcentral. Lineage: Eukaryota; Viridiplantae; Streptophyta; Magnoliopsida; Poales; Poaceae.